Solea solea (common sole) is the source of this 376-nucleotide long non-coding RNA. RefSeq lists it as uncharacterized. Lineage: Eukaryota; Metazoa; Chordata; Actinopteri; Pleuronectiformes; Soleidae. The transcript is spliced from 3 exons. The record is from RefSeq and is a predicted model, not a curated record.
CACACACACACACACACACUCUAGUUCCUCUGAGUCUCCACCAAGUUUACAUUUCCAUGAAACAACUGAGGUUUUGGGAUGUGCAGUGACCCAACACUCACACGGAAGUCUGCUUUAAUUUCCAGUCAGCGAUAGGAAGUCACAGGUUGAAAAAAGAAGAUAAACAGUGGGAGAUCGUCAUCGACUGUAUGAUUUUUCUGCUUUGUCUUCAGCAAUUUCCUGUGGACCUUGCCAGCAGCUGCUGUAGAAACUCUGCCAGUGAUCUUGCGUCAGGGAAAUCAUUGAUGUGAAUGAAGGAGCCAUUGGGAAUAAACUGCUCAUAGUUUUCUCUUGGUGGACCCAUAACUACAGGGACCGACCCUGCAACGAGGGGCCC